RNAcentral lists this ribosomal RNA (292 nucleotides) under uncultured bacterium. RNAcentral's name for it is "partial 16S ribosomal RNA". It matches the Rfam family "Bacterial small subunit ribosomal RNA", at positions 505 to 796 of the family's 1533-position model. The record is from RNAcentral.
GUGCCAGCAGCCGCGGUAACACGGGGGGAGCAAGCGUUGUUCGGAAUCACUGGGCGUAAAGGGCGUGUAGGCGGUCAGGUAAGUGAGACGUGAAAUGCCCCGGCUUACCCGGGGACCUGCGUCUCAUACUGCUUGGCUUGAGUACGGGAGAGGGUGUGGGAAUUCCUGGUGUAGCGGUGAAAUGCGUAGAUAUCAGGAGGAACACCGGUGGCGAAGGCGCACACCUGGCCCGAUACUGACGCUGAGGCGCGAAAGCUAGGGGAGCAAACGGGAUUAGAUACCCCUGUAGUCC